CAGCGUCAGCCUGCGGAAGGGCCUCCUCACCAAUCUGGUGAGCAGCUUGCUGAACAAGUCUCUUAAGUCCCUUGUCCCUGCGCUGUUCUGCCCAUUAGUGAACGCCUGGGUCAGCAUCAUCAACAUUAAUCUGCAAUUCCUCAACCGCGUCAUCUCCUUUGGGCUUCUGGGGAAAAUCUACUCUGCCCUCUCCAAACUGCCAGUGACAGCCGGGCACUAUGUGGAGCUGGAUCUGCAGAAUUCCCCAUUCCCAAGCACCUUCAUCGACUGGCUCCUUCAGA
Non-coding RNA from Sturnus vulgaris (Common starling), 281 nucleotides. NCBI's taxonomy places the organism in Eukaryota, Metazoa, Chordata, Aves, Passeriformes, Sturnidae. The record is from RefSeq and is a predicted model, not a curated record.